CGCGGCCUAUCAGCUUGUUGGUGAGGUAACGGCUCACCAAGGCGUCGACGGGUAGCUGGUCUGAGAGGACGACCAGCCACACUGGGACUGAGACACGGCCCAGACUCCUACGGGAGGCAGCAGUGGGGAAUCUUGCGCAAUGGGCGAAAGCCUGACGCAGCAACGCCGCGUGCGGGAUGAAGGCUCUCGGGUUGUAAACCGCUUUCAGUAGGGACGAAAUUGACGGUACCUACAGAAGAAGCACCGGCCAACUACGUGCCAGCAGCCGCGGUAAUACGUAGGGUGCAAGCGUUGUCCGGAUUUAUUGGGCGUAAAGAGCUCGUAGGCGGCUUGGUAAGUCGGAAGUCAAAACAGCAGGCUCAACCUGCUGUCGCUUCCGAUACUGCUAUGGCUUGAGUUUGGUAGGGGAUGACGGAAUUCCUGGUGUAGCGGUGAAAUGCGCAGAUAUCAGGAGGAACACCGGUGGCGAAGGCGGUCAUCUGGGCCAAUACUGACGCUGAGGAGCGAAAGCGUGGGGAGCGAACAGGAUUAGAUACCCUGGUAGUCCACGCCGUAAACGGUGGGAACUAGGUGUGGGGACCUAUCAACGGUUUCCGUGCCGCAGCUAACGCAUUAAGUCCCCGCCUGGGAGUACG
This 635-nucleotide ribosomal RNA is filed under the name uncultured bacterium. Its description in RNAcentral is "bacterial SSU rRNA". It matches the Rfam family "Bacterial small subunit ribosomal RNA", at positions 232 to 884 of the family's 1533-position model. The record is from RNAcentral.